Molecule: transfer RNA, 67 nt
Filed under: Marmota monax (woodchuck)
Lineage: Eukaryota; Metazoa; Chordata; Mammalia; Rodentia; Sciuridae
Description: tRNA.Ala
Source: RNAcentral
GGACUAUAGCUCAGUGGUAGAGCCCUUGUCUAGCAUGCAGAGGCCCUGGGUUCAAACCCCAUUACCA